This 22503-nucleotide long non-coding RNA is filed under the name Ananas comosus (pineapple). Its description in RNAcentral is "long non-coding RNA (ACOM_LNC004594)". The record is from RNAcentral. Lineage: Eukaryota; Viridiplantae; Streptophyta; Magnoliopsida; Poales; Bromeliaceae.
UUUUUUUUUUUUUGUUAUUAUUAUUAUUAUUAUUAUUAAAGGAUUAGGGCUACAUGUACCGAGAUUAGGGUUUCUGAUUGCCCUAGUCUUGAAAUCGCCUGCAAGGCUGUAGCAACAGGAACUAAAACGGGGGAAGAAAACUGGUCGGAUCGCUCUUCUUCUCUUUCCUAAGCAAUCCGCUUACCAAACUUCCCACAGUUUUCUUUUUUUUUUUUCAAUUAAGUGAUUUUAGCCCCUUUUAUAUGUUGGGUGUUAUAGCGAGGAGGAUAGAAGAAGGGGAUGGUGCAUGUGUUAGCCAUUUUUAGAGGACCUCCUCGCACAUCAAGAGCUACCUCUUCGAUUUUUAAUGUUUUUAGUAUUUUUUUUCACUCCCUCUAUCUCUCUUUUCUCUCUUUUUUUCUUUUUUUAAUGUAGCUCGGUCAUCUUCCGGGCAAGCUGUGUGCCGAUUAUCGCAGUUUGCGUCAUUUGAUGCCUACAUUCAACUAUUUAUUUAUUUAUUUUGAAAAAAGCUGAAAUUAGUUUUAGUUUUUUCUGACUAUUUUUUGGGGGUUUCAUUUUAAUUCGUUGAUCCUCUUGGUUAAAUUGUGUUCUAUAAUUAGUUUAAGUUUUUCGGACGAAAAAAGAAAACAAUAGUAGUUAAUGAAAAUGAUUGGAAAAAUUAUCAGUAGCAUUUUAUUUGAAGUGUAAGUUAAGGAAAUGAAUAGAAGACGAGAAACGAGAAAUCACAGAGCGAUUUAGUUUAAACAAUGGUAAUCCACUGCUUAUAAUUAUAAUAAUAAUAAUAAUAUAAUAAACAUUAAAAGCUAUCGCAUGGUUAUUGGAUGCAUGAACCUGUAAUCUAACACCUCACCCACAAGCGUCUCUGGCUUAUGAUGAUAAAAUAUCUCCCACUCUUUUGUUUAAAUCUGUAGACACAACGCAUGUAGUACAAUCGUUGUAGAAAACGAAGGCUCCCGAGGAAUUAUACCACCAGCCCCAGCUUAACUCACAUUUUUUUUUUGGUUAUAAGAGUCCUGGAUGUUGUUCAACAGCGGGGCUAGAAAAGGUGUGAACUUGGUAGCCACUGUUGCUAACCGACACGGGAACAAUUCCUUAUGAAUUGACUCUGCACACAACCCACAAGAAUUGUCUCUCUCCAAUCAUAGUCCAGUAGGAGAUCGAUCCAUUUCCAGGCCCUGCUUUCGAGUGUUCCAACUUACUUUAGCAAAUCAUGUUCGCCCAGUUUCUCCCAACUUCAAAUUUUUGAAUCUGAAGAAGUAGAAGAGGUGCAAAGAUGAUAGGAUAGGUCCUGCAGCACUUUUAUUGCUUCUAGCAGCAAUAACACCAGCUGCAGCUGCUGCGGCUGCAGGCAUAGCCGCCGGAUGCCCGACGGCCUGCGGUGGCAUCAGCAUCCCCUACCCUUUCGGCAUCGGUUUAACAUGCUCCCGCCAAGGCUUCAACCGCACCUGCGACCAAAACCAUCAGCCUCCGAAGCUCUUCUUAGGCGAUGGCACAAUUCAAAUUCAUUGCUCCGCGCGACAGCCUGCAUCAAUACCAAGAUACUGAGCACCCCUUCUCUUGACUUCAGCUACUCCUGGACCGGCCUGCCGGCCGACGGCCCCUACACUCUCUCCGUCUCCGAGAAUCAGUUCACGGCCAUCGGCUGUGGAGUCCUCGCCAACUUCGUGUUCCCGGAUUCAGAGGAGCUCGUCAGCAUCUGCGCCUCCGUCUGCGUGACGAGGAAGCUCGUGCUCCGUCGGAUGGCUCGUGCUCCGCCGUCGGCUGCUGCCGGAUGACCGUGCCGAUUGGGCUCAGAUCGUCCGAUAUCCGGCUCAGGUCGCUAAACCAGACGCCUAGCUGGGCCGUCAGGUUCACGAACAAGGCCUUCGUGGUGGAGCAGGAAUGGUUCAGGAGAAACUCCCGCAUGCUGGAGCAGAAGUUCAGCUCAGGAGUCGACGAUCCUUCCGCGAUGGAUUCGCUGGCGAUCCCAGCCGUGCUAGAUUGGACGCUCGGCAAUUCGUCGUGCGGAGAAGCAAAGAAUCGGGCGGACUUUGGCUGCUGAAGCGCAAAUAGCGCGGGCAUCGACUCCACAGAGUAUUCUGGUUAUCGGUGCAACUGGUCUGAUGGAUUCCACGGAAAUCCUUAUGUUCUUAAUGGAUGCCAAGGUUUGCAGAUUGAAGAUAUUACUGCUGCUGCACGUAUUUUGCAUAGAGUUUAGGCUUGUGCUAACUUGGCGUCUGUUCUUCUGAUGAGUGGUCAGAUGUUGACGACUGCGAGCAACCAGAAACAUAUCCAUGUUAUGGAAUCUGCCAAAAUGAGAUAGGAUCGUACCAGUGCAGCUGUCCACCAGGAACAAACGGUGAUCCGACCAUUGAAAAAGGAUGCUUCUCCGGCCAAGAACUCUACACAGCUUCAGGUAACAUAGCCUCAAAAAUGUGAAUGCAAAGAACAAAUCAGAGCUCUGUAAACGCCAACUUUUACCUGCGCACAUACUAAUUAGCGCAACAUUUAAUCUAUGCCCAGGUGUAGUUAUCGCAGGGGCCGGCAUUGGUAUUGGGCUUUGAGCUCUGCUCGUCGGCAUCGCCUUUCUCAUCUACAAGUUGAAGGCAAGGAGAGCGAGAAAGUUGAGAGAGAAAUUUUUCAAGAGAAACCGCGGGUUGUUGCUGCAGCAACUGAUAUCUUCGAAUAAGGAUAUUGCGGAUAGGAUGAGGAUCUUCGGCUUGAAAGAGCUCGAGAAAGCAACCAACGAUUUCAACGAGACCUGUAUCCUCGGCCGUGGAGGCCACGGCACGGUCUACAAGGGCAUCCUGUCGGACCAACGAGUCGUCGCCAUUAAGAGGUCCAAAAUCAUAGUCCAACGAGAGAUCGAUCAAUUCAUAAACGAAGUUGCCAUCCUGCCGCAAAUUAACCAUAGGAACGUGGUCCAGCUCUUCGGGUGCUGCCUCGAGACCGAAGUUCCUCUCUUGGUUUACGAGUUCAUCUCUAACGGAACCCUUUCCAACCAUCUUCACGUUCAAGGCGCCCGUUCUUUGUCUUGGGAUUAUCGGCUAAGGAUUGCGGCAGAAACCGCGAGGGCUCUAGCCUAUCUGCACUCAGCUGCUUCCAUAUCAGUGUUCCACAGAGAUGUCAAGUCAGCCAACAUACUUCUUGAUGAUAAUUUUACGGCGAAGGUGUCUGAUUUCGGGGCCUCGAGAUCCGUUCCGUUAGACCUAGAUCUGGCGGGCAUCACCACAGCUAUCCAUGGAACCUACGGUUAUUUGGACCCUGAGUACUACCAUACGAGCCGGCUAACUGAGAAGAGCUAUGUUUAUAGCUUUGGUGUUAUUCUUGCGGAGUUGCUAACAAGAGAGAGAGACCAAUUUCAAACUCGAAAUUGCCGACAGGUCAAAGUCUUGCCGCGCACUUUGUAUGGUUAAUGAGAAACGACAGCCUCUUUGAGAUUCUGGAUCAGCAAGUCGUGGAGGAGGGGCAGAGAGUAGAAAUAGAAGCAGUUGCAGCCCUCGCAGAGAUGUGCUUAAGGUUGAAAGGUGAAGAAAGGCCUACAAUGAAAGAAGUUGAAGUGAAACUCGAAGCCCUCGGAGGCUCCAAGAAGGGGGCUAGGCACCCCUGGGCUGCACAGAGGUUGGAACAGAGUCAGAGAUUGCUAAGCCAUGUAUCAACUGAAGAUAGGGUGGCUGAUAUGACCAGGCAGUAUAGCUUGGAGAAUGAACUCGCGUUGUCAUCGUUACCGCGAUAAAUUUAGCUGUUCCGCUACACCAGUUUUUGCUCUAUCACAAGUUGCAUGCUGCUCUGUUAGAUGCCCAGUGAUUUAUAUGGAUGCUAUCCUUUUUUUGGUGACAUCUCCUAUAUUGUUGUGCUACCAAGAAACAGGUUAUAUUGUUUAGUAAAUUCAUACGACAGGUUAUAUUGUUUAGUAAAUUCAACCAUUCAAGACAUCAGAAUGGUGACAUCGAGUGCACCAGAGAAGAAACUUUAAUUACCCUAGUAUUCCACAGCACAUCAACCUUCGCUAUAAGAAUAUCACAAGGCUGGGUCAUAUAUAUAUAUAUAUAUAUAUAUAUAUAUAUAUAUAUAUAUAUAUAUAUAUAUAUAUAUAUAUAGAGUGAGGCUACUAUGCUAUCGGAAGCACGGAGCCUUCCGUGCUUCCAGCUCGUUUUCGAUGUUGCGACUUUCGAAUCGUCGAUCGGCUCCGUUAAACUUGAUCUAGAGUAUUUGAAGUACCUAGAAAAUAAAUUUUAUGAUUUUACGAUAUCAUUUGCCUAGUGAACGAAGGGGCUCAAAAUCAACGGCUGAAAAUAAAAAUCUUACAAAAUGUAAUAAUAUGACAUUAAAAUUUUAAAUCAAAGAUAUUGAUCUUGUUUUAUAUAGUAUAAAGAAUUUUCUAUCAAAAUUUCACGUGAUUUGGAUAUUUCUACACCGUUAAACUUGCAAACGGCUCACUACGGCCAUUGAAAUUUGUUGAUUUUGAGCCCAUUCGAUCACUAGGCAAAUGAUAUCGAAAAAUAAUAAAAUUUAUUUUCUAGGUACUCCAAAUACUCUAAAUCAAGUUUAACGGAGCCGAUCGACGAUUCGAAAGUCGCAACAUCGAAAACGAGCUGAAAGCACGGAAGGCUCCGUACUUCCGAUAGCAUAGUAGCCUCACUCUAUAUAUAUAUAUGUGUGUGUGUAUUUGUGUGUGCAUGUGCAUUUAUAUUUCAUUAGAUAUAAGAAAAUAAGUAGGUGAAAAUUCACUAAAUUCCUUAAUCAGUAUUAGCAAAAUUACACCAGCAACUGUGGUUAAAUUCAUCUAUUAGAAUUAAUUGAAUUCAGCCUAUCAUUAGGUCGGUGAAUUGCACCAAAAGCUUCUCCGUGUUUCCAUUUCAAACCGAUCAAAUUUAACUAAGAUUUCCACACUAACUACACAAUACCAAUGCUGGAGAUCAUCCCGUCCUGUACCCAUCUGCUUCCUUUUCGAUCUUGUGAAAAGCAUCUACGAAAUAGCCAUCCCUUUCAACUAUUCCAUUCAGAUGUACUGCACGUAAAUUACACCAUCUCUGAUGAGCAAAUCAGAAUAAAUUACACGAGGACUAGGCCAGGGAUCUAGAACUUGAAAAGAGCUACAUAGUAUACAAUGAUGGCGUCGUGACAAGAGACCCACUACAUUAGCUUCUCCCGGGACAGUUCACACGAGGUACCUGUUGACAAACAAAAGAAAGGCUAUUAAUUAGGGCACGAAACAAAAGCUCCUUGGAAGAGAUAUAUAUAUAUAUAUAUAUAUAUAUAUAUAUAUAUAUAUAUAAAAAGAAAAACUAAGGAUGAAUGUCAAUUGCUCUGACUACAUAAAAAGAAUAAAAAGCAUAGUAAAAGUUGGUCCGACAAUCCAAAAUCUGUCCUAGGUUGAAUGUCAAUUGCUCUCACUCCAAUAAAAAGAUUAAAAAGCAUGCUAAAGGCCAUUCUACAAUCCAAAAUCCAGACUCUAGCAGUAGUUAGUCACAAGGUAUUGAUGAUGGUGUGUUGGAUAACUCCUCCCCCGCCUCUCAGUAACAAGUGCUUCUGCUAUGCACCUUUGGAUUUUCUCAACACACAUACACAGAGUAACGCAUACACAAACACGUAUAUAUACACACACAUUGUGUGUGUGUGCGCGCGCGCGUGCACGCGUAGGGGGGCAAAAGAACAUGCAGUAAGAAAACUUCCUGGAGUCCAUGAACUAAAGUGCACAUAAAAAAUUAGCAAAUAAUAUAUAAGAAAAAGUUUACCUUUUUGUUUCCCAUCCAAAUAAAUAUAGCAGGAGACGAAUGCGUAUAUUACAGAUCUCCAGAGAAAAAUAUGUAGUACUACCACAUUAACUGCUAAUCAACUGCAAGAUGCCUGCAGAUUCAUCAUAUUUCCAUCUGCAGAACCAGUUUUUUAGAAUGUAACAAAGAUUAUGUAGAUAUAUAUAUAUAUAAAUAUAUAUAAAAAGCACAGAAGCAAGGAAACAAAAUUAUCAUGCAACUUUGUUAAAAUCUUCCUGACACCCUUACAAUCAUCUACCACUAUGCACAUGCACUCUCAUUAGGAAAACCUACCAGUAUUUAAAUAACAGCUUUCAAGGUAACAACACCCAUCUUUCUUAUUCUCAUACUGCUAGAAACCUAAGGUGAUAUGCAACAACAAUAUGGGCUUCAUAUGCCUAAUCUUCCCAAAGUUGAAAAGCCUUAUUGUAGUUCAUGAAUUCAUUCAUCUUCUACCGUCCAAUAAAACUACGAUGCAUAAAGUUACAACCAUCCACUAAAUACUCCUGAAUAACAUUACGAAUUGACUUGCUAUAUUUUAGUGCACCUUAAAAGUCCUCAUGUUCGAGUUGCUUUUGAACUGGAAAAUAACCAAAUUACCCAGCAUAUUUACAGCUACUAUAGAAUAUUGCUAUCACAACUAUUUGUUGAAAUAGGCCAUAGCAUCCAAUGGAAUCCAACAAUAUCUUUCCAAAAUUUCACAAGAUAAUUAUGCCUGAGGAAUUCUUUAAGUUAGAAAAGCAUACUUGCACAUGAAAAUCGAAUGCAAAUUGCUCUUCAAAUCAGAUAAUUCACUUCUUUUUUCCCUCUCUUCCCUAAACUUGUCAAUAGAGAAAACUUCACAUAGGCCGCGGAUUGAGUCAGCCGUUAUCUUUCUUUGAAUAUUUGAAGCAUAUACCUGUAACAAUUUGCAAUAAGGAGAUCAAAACAUUCAAUGUUUCAACAGUAAAGCAUAAUAAAAAAUUAACCACUAUACAAAAGUUAAAAAAUGAAAAAGCUCCUACAAGAAUGAGAAAAUUUUCACACCAUUAAGCAUGUUAAAAAUAGCACUGAAGCCUAACCACAGAGUAUAGGCAAAUUGUGACGAAAUGCUAACCGAAGAAUUAGCCACUUUCUCCUUUUUUGACUUUGCACAGUACAAUAUAAAAAUAAGGACAGCAUACACAAAUAUGGAGGAAGGUAAAGACGGAUUAAAUAACUUCAUAGGUCUUAAUUCUAUGAUAAAUGUACAGAACAUGACAUUGCGUCUGAAUUAAUUGCAAAAAUAUUUACAGCUAAAACAAUAGUCUAAGGCCUUGCCUAAAUAUUAAUUGCUGCCCAGAAUUAGAUAAAAAAAAUUUGGUCCACUAGGAUCUUUACCCCAAAUCGAUCCAGAAAAAGAGAAAGAAAUAAAGAACUUCAGGCUAAAUAUAAAAUAAAACAUUUAGCAUCUCCAAUCGCAGAUCAUAGGGGCUUUUGAAAUUCAAUAUGCAAUGAGUGUGGCCGACACAAAAAUGCCUGAUUACAUUUUGCUGGUUUAAUGUCAAUUAUCAGGAACUUGUUUCAGAAAACGCAGAUGCCAUAUACCAAUGUAUACUUUGAGCUUAGGAUCUAGUAAUCAAUAACAAUCUCUACAACCAUUGUAAACCACUCUAUCAUAACUUACCUCACUGUCCUCAGCAGCAGAAGGUUGUAUAACAGUGUCUGGAAGGUCAUGGGGUAAGUAAUAAGGAUUCACAACAGCCCACUUUGAUCCAGAACCCUUGUCUUCCCACAUAGACUACAGUAAAUGGGGAGACUUAGUGUCAGUAUGUAAAAACUACAUAUGGUAUGUGGAUAAAUAUAAAAGUAGCUUAUAACUAUCAAGUGUCAGUAUAGUAUUAAGAAUCACUUCUUUGUGCAUCUUUCAGAUGAAGGGAGCAUCCCAAAAUUAAAAUAUUGACCACAGAUGGUAAACUGAACGAAAAUUGAGGGCAGGCAAAUGGACAGGUGGCUACAAAAAAGAGCAAUAUUCCCCUUGCUAUGCAAAGUGAAAGGUACUUUAUGAAAUGACAGGCAUAAUCUUAAGUAGUUACAUGACAAAGACGAAAAGGGAUGGUAAAGACUUGCCAGGAGCUUUGAAGGGAUCGAACUGUUCCCAUCAGCAGGAAUUAAAACAUGGUCCUGAAGCUUGUACAGUGAACCAUUAACCUGACAGGCUCUGUAAUAUAAAUUUCCACCCACAACUUGAAGGACAUCGCCUACCCAAUCCACUGUAUGCAAAUCGGCAAGCAAAGAUCUACAACCAUCUCUAACUUCAUCCUUAGAUUCCAAAACUCCAUUUGGAGUUGUCUGAUGAUUGUCUCCAUAAUCUAACCCAUCAUGGCUACCAGCACUAUGUUCAGAUGCUUCUUUUCCACUCACGCGUUCCUUUAGUUCAUUGAUCCAGGGCUCACUGACUUGUCGAUUUUCAUUAGCAGAAGCUUUGAUACCGCUUUCCACCUCUGUGUUAUUGGUAAUACGAGACGUAGAGGGUGCUUGAGACUCAUUUGCCUUUUUAUUAUCAGAACCAUUGAGUUGCCCAGACUUCGUGAUUUCCGUUGUAACUACAGACAUUGACUCAGUAGGGUUAUUCUGAAUGCUCUCAUGAGAACUUUCACAUCUUGUGCUUAUAUUAGUACAUACAAUCCAAUCAUUCGAGUUACUAGAUAAGAUUUCAGCAGACGAAUUGCCUUCCCUUUUCAUUACAACACCGGACAAAUUCGCAUGUGCUUCUGCACUUACUGUCCAAGUAUUUGGACUCGAUUCAACAGUAUCACCUCUAGUGUUAGUAGCACAUGCGGCAUUUGGCAUGGUAGAAUUUCCAUUUGCUAUUAUUUUUUGUUGAUUACUUUUCGGGUCUGAAGAUUCGGUUUUUCUCUCUCCAGAAACAUGGUUAUGCCCCACUGCAUUGGAUGCGGCCUUGGGUGCACUAGUACUUCUCGUAACUCUACCAUAUUUAGGUGGCAAAGGCUUGCCAUGACUCAAGGUCAGACACUUUGGGCAGUGCCACUCACCUUUAGGAGGUCCUUUAUAAUUAUUAAGACACGUCAAGUGGGUCCCUUUGUCACAAUUAUCGCAAACGAGCAAGCUUUCCACAUCAGUAAUAAGAAUUUUGCAUACUUGGCAAUUCAGAGGCUCUUUCAUGUAUUCAGUUGACAGCGGUGUCCAGUCAGGUGGAUUUGAAGCCUUCCGCUGCAAUAUUUGCUGCACGUAUUUGGAUAUGUCAUUAAAAACGGGGGCAACAGAUGCUGGAUGAGUAUAUGUUUGGCCUUUUACAGUUUGAUGUCCCAUAAUAAGGUUUCCUGCCCCAGCUUGAAUUGUCAAUGUCUUCAAUUGACGAUCCCUCAUUGCAUGACUUGAAGCUGGCAAUAAAUUUGAUUCAUUAUCAACCGAUUUACUUGUCUGUGCUGGGAUAGCUAAUGCUAAUUGGACAGGAGUUGUUGAGGCUUUUUGCGGUGCAUAGUCAACAGAAGUAGCUGACAGAAGAUACAAUAAGGUAAAUUAGAAUAUCAACAAGGAAUAAACAAACCAUUUCAGCAAUAAUAAAUAAGAUGGACCAAAACAUAAUAUUAAAGAAUGAGAAUAAAAUACAAGGUUGCAAAUUGCACACAACCUCAAGUCAAAUGUUGAAAGGUAAAUGGAGGAGGGGGGAAAAAAUGCCAAAUAGACUACCAAGAUACAUACAUAGACAGAAUUAAGCUAAUAGCACAAAAAUUCUAAGAAUUGCAUAAUUUGGUAACAUGUGAAAGGACAAAGGCAAAGGAGAGAUUGGAAGAUUACCUCUAGCCUGGGUUAAAUAAGUCGGUCCGCCAAAUCGUGCAUCAAACCUGAGAUGUGCUGCUUCUGGAUGAGGUGAUGCUAACGAAGGGCCCAAUACUGCUUUUUCAGGAGUUACUGCUUGAUGAAUUUCAUUUAUUUGCGGUUGCUUCAAAGAGGCAGAAGCAGAAGCUAGUGCAGGUGAAUAUGCGACAGUAGGACUCUGAAAGCCUCCUGCAGAGAGUGCCAAUGGACUUGUCUUGUCUAAAGAAAACCUAGAUGCUCCAUGCAACAUAGUUCCUUGGGAUGAAUAAACAGAUGAAUUCAUGGCAACUUCCUUUGCUUCCUCCAUCUGCAAAAUUGCAACCAAAUUUGCAAGACAAGCCAUCAGAUAUGUAACAGCAAAUAACAAUUUUGUGCAGAUUUGAUAAUACAAAGGACUAGCAUCAUUAUAACAGCUUCCAGCUAGAAGAGUAAACAAAAAGUAGAUAAAAAGUUGCACGUGACUUGCACCCACACUUUCACCAACGGCAGUGCAAUAAACAAAAGUAGGCACAAAGAAAAGAUAAUUAAUAUCAAACAUUUUAGCUCGCUGACCAACUAUUCCCUUGGUUACAAGGACAUAAUGAUUUGUCUUAAGCCAUACUUUCUUACCUCCGCAAUGGAAUCAUUCAACAAAGUCAUGUCCAAGUCUCAACAUUGAGUCACCCAUAUCAACCGAGAAUGAAAAAUUAUCUUCUUCCCUUUUAUCUUUUAGAAUUUGUUGAUUCAUAGACAUGAAGAUAUGAGUGAGAGAAGGUAAUUUAACAACUCCAGCAGAAUUGAAAUACAUUGCUUUAAAAUUCAUCGAAAAGAUUAGAUCAACAAAGCCACAGCAUAAGCAGCAGUUAUAGCUUGUAAAAAGUGCAAGAGUUCUUCGCCACAUUCAACGGUAAAAUGCAUUCUUGAAAGGUGAUAGAGUUCUCUUGAUGAUGUCAUGUGCUACCCUUUUACAUAAUUACAAAUUUGUAAAGAAAAGUUACUCUAGUGAUAGAACAUGAAGGAGAGUGUCAUAAUGAUUCACAAAGAAAAUUUCAUGCAAGAGCCCAAUUGGAUGUUCGAACAAAUUACCCAGUGAUAACUUGUGCUCUACAAGGAUUGCUUUCUAAUUGCAAUUUAGGGGUUUGUUUCUAGCCCCUUUGCAAAUAGUUGGCAAUUAUGAUUUGUCAGGACAACACAUUCCACCUAUGAAGUGAUUUAUCUUGUUUCGAGAAAAUGACUUGGGAGAUCAAAUAUAGUACCAUGGUUGUAGACAUCUGAUCAAUUAGUGUAUUCUCAUCAACUAAACAAACGAGUAAGAACAAAACAAGAUUUUCAUCCAUCCCGACAGGCUUAAUGGAGACUUUAGAGUUCACCAAUAACCUACUCUGAUUUUGGACUAGUUUGAUCUCAGAAGUUAACAUUUUCAUCCCAAUAAUGCAGCAUACACUCGUAAAAUCCAAACCAAGCAGCAAUUCAAACACAUAACAAAUUCGGAUUUUCAUAUCCACCGGAGUAAACCUCUUGUAAACAAAUUAACAGCAGAGGGAGGGAGCAGACCUUUCUCUUGGUGAGCGAGACCUUCUCAGCAAUGGUCAUCUUGGGGGGCCGGAACCCCAUCACUGGAUCUUUCGAGCGGCUUAGCCCAAGAUCCUCCGCCAAAACCCUAACCGCCUCCCUGGAGAACAAAUCCUUCGGCCUAACGCCCUCGCACACCCGCGCCAGCCUCUCCCUCGCCUCCGCCAUCAUCGCCGUCUCCGCCGCCGUCGGAUCCCGCCCGCCCCUCAUCUCCGCCAUCGCCGACAGAACCAUCACGACCUCCGCCACGCGCUUCAGCUCCCCGUCCCUCCCCCUCUUCCUCGACGCGGCGGAGGAGGAGGCCGCGCCCUCGUCUCCCAUCUCCGUCGGCGGCGGAGAUCCCCGUCCCUGGGGCGGCGGCGGCGGAGGAGGAGGAGGCGCGAUGGUGCGGCGGCGGAGGAAGGGACCUGCGAGAAAGGGAGGAAUCAGGCGCCAUUGGAAAGAGAGGGGAGAGGGGGGUGGGGGGAGGAGCGAAACCCUAGCGAGGGCGAAGGAGGGAGGGGGAUCGGAAAGAGAGGGAGGGGGCAAAGGGGAGUUUAAAUACCUAUUUGGCGGGUAAUUCUCGAAGGCUUAAGACGUAUAGAGAGAGAAAGAGGGUUAAGAAAACUGAAGCGAGGGGGAUAUCGUAGUGAGAUGGCGGUGAGAGUUUGGGGAGCAGGCGAUGAGAGAGAGAGAGAGAGAGAGAGAGAGAGAGAGAGGAGAGAGAGAGAAAGAGGGAAAAUAGGAGCGAUUGGGAAAGAGGGGUUUCCUUUGUUUUACCCCUUUUCUUUUUCUUUUUCUUUUUUUUCUAUUUUCGCUUCUCGGGUCGGGAUUGAACCGGACCGGAUGGUCUUCGAAAGCGGCGUGGGUUUGGAUCGGUGACCGACUACGAGGCCGAGUAGGAAAUGGACGGAGUGGUCUAUGGGAAUAUGCCACGUGUCCUGUUGCGGGAUUUGGCAUUUCGGGGCUCUUCGGGUUUUGAAACGGCUGGGUCGAGUCAAGUCCGUCGCUUCGCUAAAGAUGACUCGAACUCGGGCUUGACCCGUUUCUCAGGUUCGUGUGUUUGCUAGGGUAUGCAGAUGAAAUAAAUUAACGUAAAAAAAAGAAAAGAAAAUCUGCAGUGUAUAUAAAUAGCACAUAUAAUUCUUCGAUUUUGCAUAUAUAAGAAAUGUUACAGAUAUGAAUUUGGCAAAUAUAUGCUAGAGAGACAUAGGUGUGAAAAGGGCAAAAAAAAAAAGAAAUGUGUACGGCCCCUGUUUGGAAACUCUUGACAGUUUUAUGGAGUACUUUUUUACUUUAGUAUUAAUAUUUCACCGCAUAUAUAUAUAUUAUUUGGAUGGGCAUUAUAUUACUGUAUUUUAAAUUCUUUUUUUUUUUUAAUUAUACUGUUUGACAUUGCUCCAAAACAGGCGCUAAACAGUUAGAUUGGGUCCUGUAAAGGUUGUGCCCAUUUAGGGCCGCUUAGUAUCGAGGCAUUGCAGCUUCAUGUACCUGCAGAAUGUUGAAAAAUUUAUGGUAAAAUACCUCCAUGCACCACGAAUGAGAAAUAGCGACCAUCCAAGAGCAAUCGGUGCGACGUGAGACGACUCCCGAAAACAAAAUCCCAUCUCCAUAAGACUAGUAACUCUCUGCACCUCCAAACGAAGCUUAUUGAUUCCUCAGAAUCUGCUGUCGAUAGAAAACUUAAAUGAGCUUCUAAAUCCUAAACCUCAAAGCUUCAAUAAAGAUGAGGCUGUAGGAAGAACUCUACCGAAAUACAAAAUAGAGUUGGUAACAGAACGUAAGUAAGAAAAAUAGUGGAGGUAGACAAGGAAUCAACUGGGGACUAGGCAACAAAAACAUGAAUAGGUGGCGACAUUGAUGAUUGCAUGAUAGACGAGAAAGAAGCGGCGGCAAAAACAAUGACCCACAACCUCCCGAGGAUCAUUGGAAUUUGGAACCACUGUACAUAAGGCAAUGAGAGAGGCGCUGGUAGAAGACAGCAGGACGAAAUCAAUCACAAGCACUUCAACUUCACAGCACGCUCAGGUGGGGAGCCUCUGCUGAUGACAGUGAUAUAUAGGAUCAUCACCUCCAAGUAUUUGCACAAUAAUUUAAGAUAACGGAUAUUCUGUUAUUUGAACCCAUCAAAAUAUUGAUUGAACAAUACUUUCCACCAGAUGAAUACUGUAACCUCCAGGCACUCUUAAAGUGCAAAUAACAAAAUAGGAAGCAGCACUACAUUUAGAUUUAAACCGUGUUAUUUCGAUCAUACACGGAAUAAUCCUUGAACUGUAGGGCAUGUACACUGAUUCUAGUUGCCAAGCCCUAUGGUUCUGUCUCUAUUCAAUUCUCGGAUCAAGGGUUUACCUCCUAACAAUUAUUGGGUUUGAGAUAGAUCACGUUUGCUCCUGAAAUUGCAAACAUAAAAGGGUAGGCUACCACCAACUGCUCUAAUGAGAUGGAUCAUAUGCAUCGAAAGAAGAGAUACGAGGGACAAACACAAGUUUGAAUACAGAUUCCACCAAAAGAAUUGAUAAAAACAAUACUAUUCUGUCGAAGACAACUAGAAAUGAAGAAUGUUUAUUUACAUUUCAAUUAUAAACUGAUCUGAAGCCUUCUGUAAGAGCAACAACCUUAGAAGAGAGCUUUGGCUGCAGCUUUGACACAGCCAAACGAAUAUCCUACAAAAAUAAAACUGAUUUCAGUAAGCUGACAACGCAUUGCAUGAGCUGAGACAUUGAUACAUUACCUCCGUAUAAUAUCGAGAUGAGAAGUGUGUGAGUAAGAUGGCCUUGUUACGGAACCACUGAGCAUGCUCCAUAAUCUGCAAAAUAUGCAUAAUUUUACCACUACUCAGGCCAUUGUUUUGUACAUUUUGAUCCGUAAAUCACUACCAAAGACGUAAAACUUUUAAAAUCCCUUCAUAAUAAAGCAUGUAUACUAGGGCCAUGCGCUAGUGUCAUCAUCAAAAUUCUGGUUAUAAAAUCUUAAUACAAGUUAAGGCAAUAAGUUACCUCAAACAAAUGCAUAUGACCAUGUUCCCGGGCAUGGUUGAUGUCAUUUUCUUCAUCAAGGAAAGUAGCCUGCCACAAAAAGGAAUGCAAUACAUCAAUUCUUUCCUCAAGUUAUUAAAUUUCAAUAGACACUAGGUUAUUAGCUUGUUAAUAGACUUGUACUAUAAUAAUAACUGUCCGAGAAUAUAGAAGGCAAAUCCAAAAGGACAUUUCAUCAUAACAGUUGGUUUUUCUGCAACAUGUUACCUAUGAAAAGAGAGUUCAUAAUCUACUCGAGGAGCUCAACCUACACAGAAGUAAAACGGCAGGCUGAAUAUAUGAGUUGAACAAUGCAAAACUCUUAUAUAAUACGCAUAUUAAUUUUGGUCUAUUGUUUGCCAAUUACUACAAGAUGCAUGUUAUGAUCGAUGGAAACUGAAGUGGAUAAUAUGCUGAAAUUUGAACAAGUUGAUUUGCCACACAGAUAGGCUAGUGUUUGUUGCUUCUAAAACUGAUUUAACAAACUCCCAUUGCAACCGAAACAAUUACACCUCAAUGGCAUAAUAAAACAUACCUCUGUGAUAAGAAUUUUUGCCCUCAGAGCAUCUGCAUUUCGUGGCUCGAUAAUGAAGUCCGACAUUGUGUCUCCUGUGAAGGCAACCUCUGGAGAUAAUAUGGUGUCCGUAAUCUAACAAAAAGAUUUGCAGUCAUCAAUACGAAAUCAACAGAUAAAGAGAAUUUGGCAUGUAACUGCUAACAAGGCUUUUUCCUCCCAGUGGCAAGUGACUACAAACCUGAACACCGGAAAGCUUCAAUUUCUUGAUUUGCGUGCCUUUUAAGUGAGCGUACUGUUUUUUGAGCUUGUUUCUCACUGAAUAAAUGACAUAUCCCUGAAUCAUAUUUGGCAACACAAGUUGUGUAACAAGACAGGUAGAUAAGCACGAUAUUUUUCAAAAAGAAUGAUCUAAUGAAGGAUACCUGGCUGGGUAUAACAUGUCGAGUUCUGAAUGGCCGAACGACAAGAUCAUUACGAAUCUCAUAAGUCUCUCCUAAAAUUUUGGUAACAAAUUCAGUAAGAAUCAAUCAAAAAGAUAAGGAAAGAUUGAAGCAGUAAAAUAUUUUUUCAUACCCACAUCCAGAGCAACUAGUUCGACUUUUAGUUCAACUUGACUCAUGGUCCGAUGAAUUUGUAGCAACUUCUCCACAUCCUCUUUAAUACAUGGGGGCACAAAUACAGUUGGAGGUUUUAAAUUGUAUAGGCCGCGCGUAGCCAAGUACAUUGGAAGGCCACCCUACAACGAAAUCAUGACUGAGAACUAUUUUCUAGCAGAUAAAAAUGUAAUUUUGAGAGGAAAAAUAAAGAAAAAUAAAACAGAUCAGACAAAUCAUGACAGAUCGACGUUUAAAAAGGAUUAAAAAAAAAAGAAGAAAAGAGAGAGAGAGAGAGAGAGAGAGAGAGAGAGAGAGAGAGAGAGAAUUAAAUGCCAGCAAAACUAGGUAGAUAUUUUGAGAAUUUUUCUCACAACUAACCACUCAAAAUAUUAAAAAGGGUUCACAGAUUUCCUGAUUGGCACACCACACUUUGCCAUUCAUUCACAACUCCAAUUGGAUGUUUGAAUAUCUUCAAAGUAAAUUUCUUGUUCCUUUGCUAUCUCGUAAUCCCUAAUUACCAAGUGAUUUGGACCCAUCACGAUCAAAUGCACCUAAAAUGGGGGGCAAAAAUGGGGGGAACAGGGAUCUUACACCGUGAUCUUGGUCAGCAAAUUAGAAUCUUUUUGUGACAUCCCAAUAGUCCAACAUCGGAUAAUGUGGAAGAGCCUGCUAGGUUUAUAAGUAGCGGACACACUAGACAUAAUAACUGGGCUUAAGCAUUUUGGGCCGGUAAUUAGGCCCAACGAGUUAUUAUUGCUAGUGGGCUGGGUCGUUACAUUUGGUAUCAGAGUCAGUUCACCAGCCGGAAGUGUGAGAUAAGUCUUGACUGAGCUAGGGUUGGAAUGACAAACUAAGUCAGGAUCGGUGAUUGACAAGUUAAGUCAGGGUCGGAAAGACAAAGGCUAGCGAGACAAAUCUCACGUCGCCUGGUGAUCUUGGGUUGUGUGUGAUCGGAUGGUUAUAACUAGAUGUGGGAGUAUAUAAGCUUGAUUGAGCUAGAUAUAAUAACUACGCUUAAGCAUUUUGGGCCGGUGGUUUACGCCCAACGAGUUAUUAUUGCUAGCGGGUCGGGUCGUUACAUUUGGUAUCAGAGCCUGAUAAACAGCCAAAAGUGUGAGAUAGGUCUCAGGACUAUGUAUAUGAUUGGGCCGGGCUGACGAGGGCUGACGAGGACAUCAGGAUCUAAACGAUAGGAGUAUGUGACAUCCCAAUAGUCCAACAUCGGAUAAUGUGGGAAAGCCUGCUGGGUUUAUAAGUAGCAGACACACUAAAUAUAAUAACUGGGCUUAAUCAUUUUGGACCGGUGGUUAGGCCCAACGAGUUAUUGUUGCUAGUGGGCUGGGUUGUUACACAUUUCCUAACCCAACAACUCAAAAUGACGAGUUCAGAGAUUCCUUAGUUCUGACCGCAUACUUUGUGGCUAAUAUCAUACUAUAUUUGUAUUGAAUUGCACCAAAUCCUUCCUUUUCCCAAUUUCCCAAAGCAUCACCAUUAGAAACCGCAUUAAGAAGGGGAAAGAGGGAGGAGAGGGAUCGUACGAUGUGGUCGAGGUGGGCGUGGGUGAUGAAGAGGAAAUCCUGGUGCACGGCCUUGGCGGGGCAGCGGCCGAUGUCGAAGGCGGAGUUGAGGCUGGGGACGACGACGCAGGUCUCGUGGCCGCCGACGGAGACGCCCUCGAUGAGGUAUCCCUCGACGUCAACGCCCUUCCGCCGCACCUCCGCCCUCGCCCUCCGGUACUCCUCCUCCUCCAUGGCCCGGUCGAUCACCGACAAGAACCCCGACUUCUUGAUGGCUAGGGCACGGAACCGAUCGGCGGCGGCGGCGGCGGCGGCGGCUGCAGGGGAAGAGGACGAGGGGACGGUGAGGCGAGGAGCGGCGUGGGGAGGGUCGAAGGGGAAGAAAUGCGAGGGGAGAGACGGGGAGGAGAGGGUCGAAGAGAUCGGCAUUUGAAAUUGCUCUAGAGAGAAGAGAAAGAGGAAGAAGAAGAAGAAGAAGGCAUGGGAAGAGUGGGGGAGGAGAAGGGAAAUGGAUUAUGGUCUAGGGCUUUGGGAGAAGGGGUUGGAAUGAAAAGGGCAGGAGAGCGGCUUUUGGACGAACUAGGCAGAAGAUAACGAGCAGACCGGGUGUAUGAAAUUAUGAAUAUGUAGAAUUUUUUUUUUUUUAUGCAAUAUUAAUUUUUUAUCCGAAAAUAGUAGUUAUUAGUUAUCUAAAAUAACCUAGUAUAACUAUCUCCACCAACCCCUUUAUUUUUUAUAUAUAAUUAUCCAUUAUUUUUUUUAUUCUUUAUUAUCUAUUCAAACGUUAUUUUUUUUAUUCUCGAAAACAAUUCAAUUUUUAUUCAAAUAUAAUAGCUAGUUCUUGUUUAUACCCGAACAAAAUGUUACCUUAAAUUAUUAUUUAAUUUCGUAACAUAAACUGCACUUCUGCUAGAAGUAUGUUUGUAAAAAGUCUGCAAUAAUGUUUGUAAGCAUAUAAUUGGGGGAUUCAAAUUGGAAGCGAUAACGGUUGGUGAUUCUUUGUAGAAGAUUUACCGAGAUAGAACUUGAAGCAAACAGAACCCGUCCGAUUCAAGCAACUCAUAACUUAUUUUGCUUCCAUGAUCGUCUCUCUAGUUGAUCCGUUAUAAACUAUUCUUAAAAGUAACUGACGCAAACGCAGUGAAUAAUCAUCAGUCUCUGAUACUCCACUCAGCUUUCCAAAUAGAAACCCGAAGCUAGCUCAUUCACUAAGAUAAAGGUAAAGCACACAAACAAAUAGCAAUUCAAUUGAACACUUUAAUACUUUUAUCCUACCACUACAAAUAACUAACAUAAUCUCAUUAUGUACAACAUAUAUACAAUUAUAACACAGAAUUACAAACAGAGUCGUACUAAAAGUAUAUACAUCAGAUUUAAAAAACUUCCAAUUAUAUCGAAACUUUUCCCAAUUUGCGGUCCGAUUGUUGAAAUGGGGUGUGCACCGUACCACUUGAGUCGGUGAAGACCAUGUCGGAGCAAACAAUAGUCCUCGAGUUUGACGUGAGAAUGUAUGCAUCUUGAAGCGUGAACCCGUGAACGAUUGGCAAAGGAAAACCUUGUCUGAGAUGGGAAUUCACGUACGGCACAAAUAUGGUUUUCAGGAAAACCCGUAUUACCCCCUGCAGGAAGAGACAAUUGCAUGAAAUAAAGGAUCAUUUUGAUAUCAUCCGUAGUUAAAAAUUCAUGAUGAGAUGGCAAAAAAAAAAAAAAAAAAAAAAAAAAAAAAAAAAACCAGCCAGAAGGACUAAUAGGCAGCCUACUGUCCAUCAAGACUCGGCAUUUGUUUUGGCUUGAAAAUUCAUAUAGACGAUAGAAGCAAAUAAACAUUAAUUUAUAUCUUUAAUUUAGAAAAGAAAACAUUUAAAAGCCUAGAAGAAGGCCCUAACCAUGACCAAGCUAUCAUACCUGGAUCAGCGACAUAUGGAAGUUUCCAACUUUACUCCAUUUCAAGGUAAGGGAGAAAUCAUCCAUUGUGGCUUUACCAGCCAGGUUAUUCCCUAAUAUCUCCACAAACCCUGAGAUAGUAACUUCCUGCGGAAAAAUCACAAGAGAAUUAUCAUUCUAAAAUGCAUGAACUGCAAGUUAACGCAUAAAACUAAGUUUAUUCAUGGUUUUAUGAUGACUGUGAGAGCAAAUUAAAGCAUAGGAAAGAACACAAAAGGUAUUGCCCUUAUAAGCUCACCAUUGAUAUGCAGGCCACAGGAAUUGUCUCUGCGUUAUCCAAUACAUCAAUUGUCAUGUCUAAGUAAAUGGUAGAGCCAAUUUUUUCUUCUCUAAUCUUCACUUCCGGGGGUGAGGUCAAAGAGAUAUCCAGCAACAUAUCAUCAUUUGGGUACUUCCUGUAUAAUUGAGGAAUCAGAAAUUUCCAGCUAGCUGUGUUCAUUAGAGAUUGAUCAGGUACCUUGUCCACAAUCCAAUGCAUCAAACCAGCCUGAAGGAAAAGGUUAAUCAGAGUCAAUCAAUUUGCUCGAAGAAAGAUUUGGGAUCUGAUACUUUCUACUCCAAUUUUUUCCCCUGGAAAUAUACUCAAAAUCAAUAUUAGGACAUUCUAGGACAUUAUUUCUUAAGAUCCAUGUUGUUAUUUAGCAUCUAAAGAACUCAAAAUAUAUAUAAAUUAAUUUUUCAGUUAAUGAAAAUCCUUUCUUUAUGCAUCAAGGGUACAAUAAAUUGACCACACCCCACAUAUAGUCUAGGCGACUUGACUUACAUAUUCAAGAACAUAUGUAAACAGAAAAUACCAUAUAUAGCCUAGGCGAUUUGAGUCAUUUGACUUACAUAUUCAAGAACACAUGCAAAUUGAAAACAGACAAAUACAAAAAACUACCAUCAACUUAACAAACUACUUCAAAUUGAGAUUCUGCAUAGAUCUGUUUUUUUUCUAAUGGGUUAUUCAUAUAUAAUGUUAAGAUGACUCUGCAUAGAUCUAUUCUUUUUUUUGAUGUGUUAUUCAUAUAUUAUGUUAAGACACUGAACUCUCUGUACUACCAGGCGUGGACAAUUGUACAAGUACAUAAGACAAGAAGAACACAAAAUUCAAGGGAAAAUGUAGUAGGAUGAGAUACUACAUUGAAGAUAUAUAAAUCAUAACACGCUCACCAGUUAUAUGCAGAGUCUUGUUUCAACCAAAAGAGUAGAUGUACAUAAGUAAGGUGAUCUGACAAGAACAACCAAAAAGUAGAUUCCCAUAAGGUAAUAUGAAAACUUACCUGGAAGUAUACCACUGACGCAGAGUUAAAUACAGCUUCAUCCAAUGAAAUCCAAAGCAUUUUCGAUGCACUACCACAAGAUGAAAGAAGGGGAUACUUAUGCAAGCAGCGUGGAUCAGUAUAUCCAGAUGAGGAAACAAAUAAGCCAUUGAUAUCAAACUCAAUAGAAGAAUUUCCAAAUACUGGAUCUUUUACAAAAGUCACGUUCAAAGCAGCAACAUUGUCCACAUUGAUUUUCUUUGGAAGACUUUGCAGUAGUGAAUCGAGCUUUGAUGUCCCUUCACUUAUUUUAUUAGUGAUUGUGUUUUCGACUGCAGAUCUAAUCUGGUCCCCCAAAGCAUCUACAAACCUAUAUAUUAAAAAAAAAAAAAAAAACAUGAUAUAUGGUGAGAAAAGAAAAGUGUUAAUGUAUCAAGCGUGGAACGGGGAAUCCAAAAAAAGCGCAUAAAUCAAAACCUUAUUACAGUCUCUAACACUAUCGACCCACAUACCCUUGAUAAAACCAAGAUGCUCCUCCAUUCAAUGUUAUGAUUAAUUCCUCCAUAUAGCAGCCACAUUCCAUCGCAGUCAAUUGCAGAGUUCCAUUUUUAUUCUUCAUGCUCAUGGUAAGCCCGACCUCCAUUCCUUCAACCUUAUCCAGAAGCAGGAUCAUCAAUUACCUUUUAUUGAAAUAUGUAUACAACAUAAGCGCGCAGACAUGAAGAAGGGGAACAAAGAUUUAAAUGCCAAAUAUCAAUGGCUCUUAUAGUGAAGCUCAACAUAGUCAAACUAUGGAAAAGAAUAUUGAGUAAAAGUAAAAAAGCAUGACUACUAUGAUCAUUAAUCAGGCAGUGAGUGUAUAAAAAGGUGCAAUUUUUUUACAGAUGCUACAAAAUCAAAAAUAAGGAGUGCUAAAAUGUUAUCUCUAAAUUUAAUAAUGCUGCAGUAUAAAAUCCCCAAAACAGAUUCACCUGAGAAUUAAGAAAAACUGAUCACUUAAAUUCCAGCAGAAAUAAAACAACUAAAUACUAGAAAUUGGAGAACACAUUGUACUACCUUAAUCGAAGCAGUCCCGUGAUCGGAUAUCUCAAUCGGAAGUAUCCAUGUGCUGUACGAAUACCUCCAAUCCAUGCUCAAAUUAACAGUCGCACCCGACGCGACGAUCGCGAUCCCCGACUCCCCGGGCCUAACCACCGAAGAAGAAACAUCGAUGCCUAACAACGUUAUAUUCGUCGCCGCCAUGCGAACUCCGCCAAUGAACGGAACCCUGAUGGACUCCUCGACAUCGGGGAGUCGAAUCGGGAUGAGGGACUUCACCGCUUGCUCGAUCAACAAAUCCUUGACGAAUUCGAGGCCUUUUUCGGAGAUGAUCGCGGAGAUGAACGCCUCGUUUUCGUUGGAUUGGGAAUGGGGAGUGGACGGAGCGGAGGAGAUGGUUGGGAGAAAGAGGAGAAGGAGGAGGAGAAGGGGCGCCAUGGGGUUUGGGAGGAGGGAGAUGGAUGGGGGAAGGGAUUUUAGCGCUAGGGCUAGGGUUUGUGAUGAGGGUUCGGGAAGAGGAGAGAGAUAGGUGGAGAGGGUGAAGGGAAGAGCAGGAUGGGGUAAAGGAAAACGGCAUGGAUGAUUGCUUGAAAGGCCACGGCUUCACCUUCUUCGAUAACAAUUAUUGAUCGUACGGCUAAAUAAAAAUUUUGCACCGGAGCCAUUGACCUUUCUGUGCUUUCAAAGUUAGGUCCUUUUUUUUUACCGUAUUAAUUGUACUCUACUAAACGGUACUUUAUAAUUAUUUUUAUUCACUAUAUUAUAUAAUUAUUUUUUCAAAAAUAUUAUUCUAUUUUGUCAAUCUCUAGUCUCUACACUAUAUUUUAAAUUUAUUUGUACUUUUCUAUCAUAUACUAUUUUUUAUAAAUACUUUUUUUUUUUUGUCAAUCUCUACAAUACUAUUAACCAAUAAAUAAAUUUUGAUAAAAUCUAAUAAUUUUUUUAAAGAGACACUAAUUAAAUAGUAGGAAAAAUGAAAAUAAAAAUUCAUAAUGAACUCGUUAAAAGGUUCUAUCAAGUAAUUUUUUAUUAUUUUAUAUAUUUUAUUGCUUUCAUGUCAAAAUGAGUUAACUAUAUAUAGGCCUUUUUGCAUAAAAAAUUCACUUAUUUUGGGCUUUUGCAAAACCGGGUCACCUUUUUCGUUUUUGCAGAUUCGGUCCGCUUUUUCAGCAAACUGACCAAAAUACCCUUAUUACUUUUUCUCUUUCCUCUUUCUCUCACCUCUUCUUCUUCACCGUCGCCUCCCUCCUCACCAUCCUUCUUCACCGUCGCCCCCCUCCUCACCCUCCUCUCCACCGCCCGCGACCCCCUCCUCCUCUCCUCCGCCGCCGCGGACCCCCAGCCCGAUCCCGUCGCCGCGGCGGCAGCGGCCGCGGCGAACGGGGUCGGGCUGGAUGCGGAGAAGAAGACAACGGCGAAGAAGAAGAAGGGGAGGCCAAGCGACAGGGCGCAGGAGGGGGAGGCGGAAGCGCAACCGGCGCCGGCACCAGCGCCGCGCGUGUUCUUCUCCGUCGGCGCUGCCCCUCCUCCCGCCGCCGCGCAGAAGCCGCCGACCAGCGCCUCUGCUUCU